AACGAACGCUGGCGGCAUGCCUAACACAUGCAAGUCGAACGAGACCUUCGGGUCUAGUGGCGCACGGGUGCGUAACGCGUGGGAACCUGCCCUUAGGUUCGGAAUAACUCCCCGAAAGGGGUGCUAAUACCGGAUAAUGUCUUCGGACCAAAGAUUUAUCGCCUUUGGAUGGGUCCGCGUUGGAUUAGCUAGUUGGUAGGGUAAAAGCCUACCAAGGCGACGAUCCAUAGCUGGUCUGAGAGGAUGAUCAGCCACACUGGGACUGAGACACGGCCCAGACUCCUACGGGAAGCAGCAGUGGGGAAUAUUGGACAAUGGGCGGAAGCCUGAUCCAGCAAUGCCGCGUGAGUGAUGAAGGCCUUAGGGUUGUAAAGCUCUUUUACCCGGGAUGAUAAUGACAGUACCGGGAGAAUAAGCUCCGGCUAACUCCGUG
This 433-nucleotide ribosomal RNA is filed under the name uncultured bacterium. RNAcentral describes it as "partial 16S ribosomal RNA". It matches the Rfam family "Bacterial small subunit ribosomal RNA", at positions 29 to 507 of the family's 1533-position model. The record is from RNAcentral.